CCUCCCAUGCCUCUCAUGGAAGCACAAACAGGGAGGU
Molecule: non-coding RNA, 37 nt
Filed under: unclassified sequences
Description: abiF RNA
Rfam family: abiF RNA
Source: Rfam by way of RNAcentral